GAUGAACGCUGGCGGCGUGCUUAACACAUGCAAGUCGAACGGAAAGGCUCCUGCUUGCAGGGGUACUCGAGUGGCGAACGGGUGAGUAACACGUGGGUGAUCUGCCCUGCACUUCGGGAUAAGCCUGGGAAACUGGGUCUAAUACCGGAUAGGACGAUGGUUUGGAUGCCAUUGUGGAAAGUUUUUUCGGUGUGGGAUGAGCUCGCGGCCUAUCAGCUUGUUGGUGGGGUAAUGGCCUACCAAGGCGUCGACGGGUAGCCGGCCUGAGAGGGUGUACGGCCACAUUGGGACUGAGAUACGGCCCAGACUCCUACGGGAGGCAGCAGUGGGGAAUAUUGCACAAUGGGCGCAAGCCUGAUGCAGCGACGCCGCGUGGGGGAUGACGGCCUUCGGGUUGUAAACUCCUUUCGCUAGGGACGAAGCGCAAGUGACGAUACCUGGAGAAGAAGCACCGGCUAACUACGUG
RNAcentral lists this ribosomal RNA (466 nucleotides) under uncultured bacterium. RNAcentral describes it as "partial 16S ribosomal RNA". It matches the Rfam family "Bacterial small subunit ribosomal RNA", at positions 28 to 507 of the family's 1533-position model. The record is from RNAcentral.